GGGGGUGUAGCUUAGUCUGGUUUAAAGCAGUCGCCUGUCGAGCGAAAGAUCGUGGGUUCAAAUCCAAUCACCCCCG
This 76-nucleotide transfer RNA is filed under the name Nostoc sp. UCD121. RNAcentral's name for it is "tRNA-Asp". It matches the Rfam family "tRNA". From Rfam's summary of the family: Transfer RNA (tRNA) molecules are approximately 80 nucleotides in length. Their secondary structure includes four short double-helical elements and three loops (D, anti-codon, and T loops). Further hydrogen bonds mediate the characteristic L-shaped molecular structure. tRNAs have two regions of fundamental functional importance: the anti-codon, which is responsible for specific mRNA codon recognition, and the 3' end, to which the tRNAs corresponding amino acid is attached (by aminoacyl-tRNA synthetases). tRNAs cope with the degeneracy of the genetic code in two manners: having more than one tRNA (with a specific anti-codon) for a particular amino acid; and 'wobble' base-pairing, i.e. permitting non-standard base-pairing at the 3rd anti-codon position. The record is from RNAcentral. Lineage: Bacteria; Bacillati; Cyanobacteriota; Cyanophyceae; Nostocales; Nostocaceae. RNAcentral also lists the same sequence under 2 other names.